This is a non-coding RNA of Plenodomus tracheiphilus IPT5, 79 nucleotides long. Lineage: Eukaryota; Fungi; Ascomycota; Dothideomycetes; Pleosporales; Leptosphaeriaceae. The record is from the annotation of a GenBank genome assembly.
UCGAUAGGUAGUGGUUAUCACUCCAGAUUUUGACUUGCAUCAAAUAUUCUGGUAACCCCAGUUCGAACCUGGGUGCGAC